UACGUAGGGUGCGAGCGUUAAUCGGAAUUACUGGGCGUAAAGCGUGCGCAGGCGGUUUUGUAAGCCAGAUGUGAAAUCCCCGGGCUCAACCUGGGAAUGGCAUUUGGGACUGCAAGGCUUGAGUGCGGCAGAGGGGGAUGGAAUUCCGCGUGUAGCAGUGAAAUGCGUAGAUAUGCGGAGGAACACCGAUGGCGAAGGCAAUCCCCUGGGCCUGCACUGACGCUCAUGCACGAAAGCGUGGGGAGCAAACAGG
RNAcentral lists this ribosomal RNA (253 nucleotides) under uncultured bacterium. RNAcentral's name for it is "partial 16S ribosomal RNA". It matches the Rfam family "Bacterial small subunit ribosomal RNA", at positions 524 to 776 of the family's 1533-position model. The record is from RNAcentral.